RNAcentral lists this long non-coding RNA (230 nucleotides) under Malus domestica (apple). Its description in RNAcentral is "long non-coding RNA (MDOM_LNC018139)". Lineage: Eukaryota; Viridiplantae; Streptophyta; Magnoliopsida; Rosales; Rosaceae. The record is from RNAcentral.
AAGCCCAUGGUGACUAUCUUCGAGUUCUAGACAGCCCUAGGAUCUCAACUAUACCAUUUUCAGGUCGGGGAACCAUCGGAAAACCCAAGAACCGUAACCCUAGAUCAUCGUAUUGUUCAUGUACACGUAAAUGUUAAGGUUUCAGUGGUUUUUGAGUUUCUAGGGAGCUUUAGAUUAUCUCCACGAAGCUCGGAUAAGAAAAACUAGGUGAAAUGGACGUCGAGAAGCCC